UACGUAGGGGGCAAGCGUUGUCCGGAAUUAUUGGGCGUAAAGAGCUCGUAGGCGGCCUGUUGCGUCCGCUGUGAAAUCCCGGGGCUCAACCCCGGGCGUGCAGUGGAUACGGGCUGGCUGGAGGCAGGCAGGGGAGAACGGAAUUCCUGGUGUAGCGGUGAAAUGCGCAGAUAUCAGGAGGAACACCGGUGGCGAAGGCGGUUCUCUGGGCCUGUACUGACGCUGAGGAGCGAAAGCGUGGGGAGCGAACAGG
RNAcentral lists this ribosomal RNA (253 nucleotides) under uncultured bacterium. RNAcentral's name for it is "partial 16S ribosomal RNA". It matches the Rfam family "Bacterial small subunit ribosomal RNA", at positions 524 to 776 of the family's 1533-position model. The record is from RNAcentral.